RNAcentral lists this long non-coding RNA (1174 nucleotides) under Anas platyrhynchos platyrhynchos (common mallard). RNAcentral's name for it is "lncRNA (ENSAPLG00000030613.1)". Lineage: Eukaryota; Metazoa; Chordata; Aves; Anseriformes; Anatidae. The record is from RNAcentral.
GCUCCUUAAACACACUUUAGAGAAAUAAGAACAGUUUAAAAAAACAUUGAAUUAUCUAAUGACUUAAUGUUAAUUAACUAGAUAGAAUUAUGCUUUUAUUGCAGUCAGAGAUCUGACUCCAGUAGGUGUGAACAUGAGAAAGCUGUUUUAAACUGCCCAGUUUGGGUAGCAGUAAUGGUACUGUUGUGACAACACAAGAUGCAGCUUACUUGAAAUAUGCAUCCAGGACCACAGAUGAAGUCAGUGGUGGCUGGUUUGCAUUGCUUCUGUCUUGCUGCAGCUCCAGCUAGCUGAGAAAACAUCUCUCAGUGCAUCUGUGAGCUGCAACUGACCUGUGGAUCUGCCUACAGCUGCCCCAUACUUUCACAGCCAUAUUCAACGGGAUAGUUUCUCUGUAGGAUUUGUUAUACAGAAUGGCCUACAACACAGGGGCAGAUUUUCAGAACUAACAUGUGAAUGUGUGUGAUUUCUUUGCAUGCUGCCUCUUUUCUGUUCAUCUUUUUCUCAAAUUAAAAAAAAAAAAAAAAAAAGUGAAACCCUACAAAGCUGCUGUAAUUCAUUCAUAUUAUUUGGUCUUUGUCAUUUUAUUCUGCUACUAACUCCACACAUUUUUCCUAUCUAUUGAGUCCUAACAAAUGAUGCUGGAGUGAUGGUAUCUAGUUUUCUUCAAGAAAGAAGAAUUCAUUAAUCUGUGCCAUUUGCAGAGAGCAGCUGUGACCCCUGUGUGUAAUCUGCUUUGAAUACUUCUGGUGGGUGCAGACUGAUGACAAGGACAGGUGCUUUGGGGCAAGCAGGUGGGGCUUACAAGGAAUUUAACAGGAUAUCAAAGUCUGUUGCCAUUGGCUGUCUCUUCAUUUUAGUUAGGUAGUAAAUCUAUUAAUGGGAAAAAAGGUACAUUUUCUUUUUUUUUUUUUUUUGCCCAUCUUGCAGGAGCUAUGGGCAACACAGUGAGUGUCCCAGAGGAAGUUAAAGAAGACAGUGCAUACCCAGUGAUAAGAAGUUAUCAGGCUCUACCUGAAUCUUCUACCAGUGUCAAAAAUGGAUCUGCUGUAUUUGUUCAGACUCAUCCUCCUGCAAUGAAUGGUGGAGGUAUGUAGUGAGUAGCAUUUAUGUCUCUGCCACCAGAGAGAGAAGUUUAUGCUGGAACAACAAUAAAUCAUGAUAUACAGUCUCA